AUAGUGAGCUUCGAUUCACUUAUGCAGCUAAGGGAGAAAGCAUGCGUUAAGUGCCUGAUGGUUAUGGGGAAGCGUAUCAAGAGUAUCGAACCUCUUCUUCAUGAGAAGGCGGUUGAUAUUUCCAUUGAGUUACUAAGGAAAUCUGUUAAAAUUGGCGAGGGUGUACCAUUAUCGAGAAGUAUGCUAUAUUUGCUCGAUUUUUGAAGGUAUUCGGUCACUUUGCGGCUCAUCGAAAAUUUGUAACGUUAUUCAUUGACCGCGGUGGCAGGCAGACACUUAUUGACGUUCCGAGGAAUAAGCGAACGUUUUUCAGUCUCUCUUUGCUCUUAUUCACAAUUAGUACGUUCAAAGGUAAUCAUUUUCUUUUAAUUAUAUCGCCGAUGAAACGCAAGUUGAAGGAGGCUUUGAAGUGCAUGUGUUUCUUUUAAUUAGUUCCUUAUGGAUUAUUUACGGACAAAUCUAAAAUUUUCACACUCAAGCAUUUUUGUGUGCAUGUGUUUUUGUGUGCGCGGUUUGUGUGUUUAUUUCGUGGACAGACUGCCAUGUAUGUGCAUAUUUUGAGUAUGAAAUGUGUAAUUUAUCUAUAAAAUAUUAUUAAUGAGUAUAUAUAAUUAUUUAUCAAUACAAUACCAAUGAAGUUUGAUGUUCUAUUUGACACCGUACGGUGUUCUUUGCAGCGGACAAUGGGACACGUGUGCCCGAAACCAAUGAAGAUAUUGGCGAAGUUUACAUAGUGAGCUUCGAUUCACUUACGCAGCUAAGGGAGAAAUCCUGUGUCAAGUGUCUGGUGGUUAUGUCGAUAAUUUCUUAGUCUGGGCGAUGGACGAGCCACAAAGAAAUUCCGGUGCUCAUCUCAAAUUGGAGAAUAUUGAAACGAUACGGAAAAUAUUAGAUGUCGAAAUAUUGCACACAUACUCCGUUGGACUUCUUUCAGUAUGCUUGACUUUGUAUGUUCUUAAACCCUUUUAUUUUAUUUAUUAAUUAGUUUUUUUUUUUUGUGUAUAUAAAUUAUAUUUUUCACUAUUUGUAUAGUCUUGUUAUGUGGGUUUUUUCCUAACAUUUUAAUAUCGAACUUUUUAGUGGUUGCCUACGAAUGAAAGAUGCCUUAACGACGUACGGAUUGCCGGUUAUGCUAAUGCGAUAUUUACGAAGUGGGGUUUUGGGCGAACUAAAAAAGACUGCAUUUGAUGCUGCUCUCAUAUGGUACAUACAUGAUCAUUUAAUUUAUUAAUUAACUUGAUAUAUCUAGAUACUUAUUCGACUAUUUUUUUCGCGUUUUGUAGGAAGUUAACUAUGCCGAAAACCGAUAUCGGCGAAGUUUACGUAGCGAGCUUCGAUUCACUUACACAGCUAAGGGAGAAAGCCUGUGUUAAGUGUCUGAUGGUUAUGCGGAAGCGUAUCGAGAGUAUCGAACCUCUUCUUCAUGAGAAGGCGGUUGAUAUUUCCAUUGAGUUACUAAGGAAAUCUGUUAAAAUUGGCGAGGGUGUACCGUUAUCGAGAAGUAUGCUAUACUUGCUCGAUGUUUUGAAGAUAGUCGGUCACUUUGCGGCUCAUCGAAAAUUUGUAACGUUAUUCGUUGACCGUGGUGGCAUGCAGAGAGUUGUUGACGUUCCGAGAAAUAAGCAAACCUUUUUCAGUCUCUCUUUGCUCUUAUUCACAAUUAGUAAGUUUAAGGUAAUCAUUUUCUUUUAAUUUAUAUCGCCGUUGAAACGCAAGUUGAAGGAGGCUGUGAAGUGCAUGUGUUUCUUUUAAUUAGUUCGUUAUUGAUUGUUUUUGGACAAAUUUAAAAUUUUCACACUCAAGCAUUUAUGUGUGCAUGUGUUUUUUGUGUGCGCAGUGUGUUUGCAUGUGUUUUUGUGUGCGCAAUUUGUGUGUUUAUUUCGUGCACAGAUUGCCAUGUAUGUGCAUAUUUUGGGUAUGAAAUGUGUAAUUUAUCUAUAAAAAAAUACUAUUAAUAAGUAAACAUAACUAGUUAGUAAUAUAAUACCAAGGAAGUUUGCCGUUCUAUUUGUUGAUCGUGGUGAGCUUCGACUCACUUACGCAGCUAAGGGAGAAAGCCUGUGUUAAGUGUCUGAUGGUUAUGGGGAAGCGUAUCGAGAGUAUCGAACCUCUUGUUCAUGAGAAGGCGGUUGAUAUUACUAUUGUAUUAUUAAAUAAAUGUAGUAAAAAUAUCGAGGGUGUACCGUUUUCGAGAAGUAUGCUAUAUUUGUUCGAUAUUUUGAAGGUACUUGGUCAAUUUGCGGCUCAUCGAAAAUUUGUGACAUUAUUCGUGCACUGUGGUGGCAUGCAAACGCUCGUUGACGUUCCGAGGAAUAAGGGAACGUUUUUCAGUAUCUCUUUGCUCUUAUUCGC
This 2352-nucleotide long non-coding RNA is filed under the name Erythranthe guttata (spotted monkey flower). RNAcentral describes it as "long non-coding RNA (EGUT_LNC002276)". The record is from RNAcentral. Lineage: Eukaryota; Viridiplantae; Streptophyta; Magnoliopsida; Lamiales; Phrymaceae.